UCCGCUGUUCUCGUCGGGGAUCUGGCAGUGAAAAACGGGAAAAAAGCCACGGACGCCGUCUUGGUAGAACAGCAAAGGGAAACGCCUACUUCCACCUUCUUUUCAACGCAACGGCAUUGGGAACCGGAAGGCGACUGAAACAGCUGCAACAUCCACACCAACUCUACCGAGUGCGGCAACGAAGAUGUCCGGUGAAAUUUCAACAUCGCGACUGCCCCGGCAGUAUCAGAAUUCACUGGAUGGCUGUUUGUUACAGGUUAUUGCUGUUAGCUUUUUCCGGAGGGGAAGAUUGUGGGCAUCAUUAGAACCGGACAAAACACACCAAUCAAAUGUCCAGAAUUCCAGGGGUCGUUAUUGACCAGACUGUCCUUUGAAAUCAUCAAUUGCCGGAAAGAAGAUUUCAUACCGAAAUUCGCAGUAAGAAUGGCCAAUACUGUCCCAUCUAACCAGGCAUGGCAGCUAGUGCAUCAAUCGCCAGAUUCAUCCGGAUCAUUAACAAAUGUAAGUUGACAUCAAUUUAAUAAAGAAACUAAAAUCCAA
Molecule: long non-coding RNA, 540 nt
Organism: Uranotaenia lowii
Lineage: Eukaryota; Metazoa; Arthropoda; Insecta; Diptera; Culicidae
Exons: 2
Source: RefSeq, a predicted model, not a curated record